RNAcentral lists this ribosomal RNA (499 nucleotides) under Hylarana nigrovittata (black-striped frog). RNAcentral describes it as "Sylvirana nigrovittata (black-striped frog) partial 16S ribosomal RNA". It matches the Rfam family "Bacterial large subunit ribosomal RNA", at positions 1857 to 2572 of the family's 2925-position model. The record is from RNAcentral. Lineage: Eukaryota; Metazoa; Chordata; Amphibia; Anura; Ranidae.
GCCUGCCCAGUGACAUAAAGUUCAACGGCCGCGGUAACCUAACCGUGCAAAGGUAGCAUAAUCACUUGUUCUCUAAAUAGGGACUUGUAUCAACGGCACCACGAGGGCUAUACUGUCUCCUUUCUCCAAUCAGUGAAACUGAUCUCCCCGUGAAGAAGCGGGGAUUUUUCUAUAAGACGAGAAGACCCCAUGGAGCUUUAAGCAACACAUUUACUUUUUAUUUUUAUAUCAACUUAACAAAAUACCUAAAUAUUAGCUUUAGGUUGGGGGGACCGCGGAGUAUAAUCUAGCCUCCACGACAAAUGGGCCACGCCCUUAUCCACGAGCCACAACUCUAAGAAUCAAUAAACUGAUGUUUAAUGUCCGAUAAUUCGAUCAACGAACCAAGUUACCCUGGGGAUAACAGCGCAAUCUACUUCAAGAGCCCCUAUCGACAAGUAGGUUUACGACCUCGAUGUUGGAUCCAGGGUAUCCUAGUGGUGCAGCCGCUACUAAAGUC